UGUCAAGCUCAAAUAUAGAUGAGAAGGAAAAUAUUUGUCUUUAUUCGGAAAUAAAUUACUACUUAGUUAAUUAUUUGAAAUUAUUAGUUGAAAAUUACUGGACAUAAAAAUAUUAGUAAAAAAGGAUAUAGACAAUUUCCUAAUGUGGCUUUCUAUAUGUUUUCCACGUGUCAUCGUAUCUAUUCUAUUUACUAUAAUGAUAGGUGGAUUAAUGAGAUAUUUGAGAAAUUCACGGAUAUUACGUUGUGAAAGAAUUGACUGGUGCGGAUAUUACGCGUGAGAAGGAAAAUAUUUGAGAAAUGCGUAGAUAGAAAAUAGGAUAUAAAUGCGAGGGUAAUAUUGUCACAAAAAUUAACAGAUAUUUUUAUUUUCACGGAUAUUACGUUGUGAAAGAAUUGACUGGUGUGGAUAUUACGCGUGAGAAGGAAAAUAUUUGAGAAACGCGUAGAUAGAAAAUAGGAUAUAAAUGCGAGGGUAAUAUUGUAAGAGAAAAAAUUUAAAACUAACGCUUUUAUAAAAAAUUAAUAUCUUUUACUAUAUUAUUAAAAAUUACAUAUAAUGAAGGAAAUUUUAUUUCAAAGUCAUUGAGAUAUUUGAGAAAUUUAUGGAUAUUAUGUUGCGAAAGAAUUGGCGGUGCGGAUAUUACGCGUGAGAAGGAAAAUAUUUAUCUUUAUUUGGGAAUAAAUUAUUACUUAGUUAAUUAUUUGAAAUGAUUGGUUGAAAAUUUCUGGAUAUAAAAAUAUUAGUAAAAAAGGAUAGAGGCAUUUUUGGAAAGAGGAAAAAAUUUAAAACUCACAUCACUCCUGUAAUUUUCUUCGCUUUUAAAUAUUGAUGCUUUUAAAUAGAACAUAUUAUUUCUUUACUGUCACUUCUGUAAUUUUCAUUUCGUAAUUUUUUUCCCUACUGUCACUCCUGUAACUUUUCAUCUUCAAUGCACCAAGGUUUUUUUUCUUUAUAUUUUCUUGAAAACCAACAUCUAUAUAUUUUUGAAUCUUAAAAGUGACAGUAGAAACAUAAUAUAUAUGUGCUUACUCUAAUUUGUGUCAAAUAUGAAAGUUUAGUUGAUCUCAUUAUAUGCUUAAAUAUUAAUGUCAUUUGUAAUUUUUCAUAUCAAUUUUAGUUAUCAUUUUAUUUCGCACAUCAAUAUGUAAAUGUAAAUUGUUGUGCACACCAGUUCAUAGAUAAUAGAGCAGGAUUGAAUUUUGCAUUUUAGUUGAAUAUUUACUUUGGUCUAAAUUUUUUUUUCUCUAGCUUGUGUACUUUAAUAUGUACUAUAUAAUUAAGAUUGAUAGCUCUGUAAAAAAUACAUUACAACGCUAGAAGGUUUCUUAAAACUCUACCUUAGAACAACUUACAUCACAACGCUAGAAGGUUUCCCUUCCGGGACUUCCCGGGGGGAAAGAAAAGACUUGUUUGUACAGACUCCUUAUUCCAGGAUGCAGUUGAUGGAAAAAAUAUUUACAGGAAAAGCAUGAAAAUAAUAGCCAUUGGAAAUAUUUGUGGAGCUAGGGUGCUAUUUCUAAUAGGAUGGAUGCUUCAUUCUUCACUUGUCGUCGAAAAGAUCUUCCUUUAAGCUUCAGUGCUUCUUCAUAUGAGGCAGUGGUUAAUCGGAUUUUUUCUCUUGUGGUGCUUUGCUCUGAAUGUAUCGAUGCUCUGAGGGAAGAAGGGAGGCCUCUUUUUAUAGGCAAAAGAGGAGGCGGUUUUGGUGGAGGAAAACCGCGGCGGCACCCGGAAUUCUUUAAAACUGCGGCUGCCCAGGUAUUGGAAUGUGACGUCAUGAUGAUGCGGGGGCCCAUAGGUUUCUCAAAAAAAACCAGGGGCGGAGAAGGUUUUGCUGUGGAUGGAAUCAUUGGCGAGGCCCUUUUGGAGUUCUAUGGUCUUGGUGCAUGAACGUCGUCCACGUGUUGUUCCAUUAGUUGUCCAUUGGUGGCCACGUGUUCCAUUGGUGGCCACGUGUUGAUCCGUCAUUUGCUCGUUGGAGGCCAAAAAUUGUAGUGCUCAGAAUUUUGAAAAAGUCGGAUUUUCUGAAAUGGUGGUGUUUGUUUGGGAACAGACCUUUGAACCUUGUUUUUGGUGGUGGAGUUGGAUCACAAGGUGAUUGGUGGAAAAUUAAAGUCCUAAACUAAAAGCCCUUAUUUUUGCCUGUGAAAGAAUCACAGCGGGUUAACUAUUUUUUCUUUUUUCUUUUUCUGAUUUUUUCUUUCUUUUCUUGAAUUUUUUCUUUUUUUUUUCUCUUUUUUCAUUUUCGAAUUUUUUCUUUGGUUUUUUCAUUUCCAGAUUCUUUCUUCUUCUUUUGAUAUUUCCACUUUUCUCUGGAAAAUUUUUGUUUUUUCCUUUUUGUUUUUGCUUUUUUCUAGAUUUUCAUUUUUUUUUUUUUAGCAGUGUCCUACUAAGUGGACUAUACGGAAAAACAGAUGCGUAGCUGAAAAACAGAUGCGGAACUGAAAUAAAUAUGUACAAAUAUGUAUAGAAUAUCCGAACCAGAUCCGAACCAGAUGUUAAGCAUUUUCCCCUAAUUUGCUGAUUUUGGGAGAAGAUGCUUCUAGUAUCAUGGGAUCUUCUUGUCUCUCUUUUGUGUUACCUAUACUAGGGUUUGGUAUUGGUUCUGAAGAAGGUUCAAGUUUUGGUAAUGGUUUGGCAAUUGGCUGUGGAUGUUUCUUAGGUGAAAAUUUUUGUAGUGGAAAAGAUGCGGAUGAUAUAGGAAUGGGUUUUACUGAGGUGGAUGGAUGGACUACUGGGAUUAGUGAGUUUUGAAAAGGCGUAUUUAUAUUGGUAAUAGGAGGAAAGACCAAACUUGGUGUUAUUGUCAUUAUAGGAGGAUACUUUGGAAGAGGAGAAGAGGGGGAUUGAGAUAGAGAUACACUACCUUGUUAUGGAGGAUUCUUGAGAUCUCUGAACUACUGUUCUAAAAUAGCAAUCCUUUGGAGAUUGUUCUGAUCCUUUGUUCUUAGUUCAUCACAAAUAAUAUUUAGCUUUUGAAGCUGUGUGGCCAUUGUUGAGCAGUUGUCACAGAAACUAUUUUUCUCAAGUUUGUGGGUGGAUGGAGAGGUUUGAUUUUGUGGAGAAGAACGAAUAGUGGGAGAAAUAAAAAAAUUUGGACCAAAGUGGGUACGAGCAAUGUCUAAGGCUUCAGAGAUAGAAUGAAAACCUUUGUAGAGAGUUUGUGGAAAAGUAAUAUGUGGAAAGAUAAAAACACAUAGUUUGAAAACCUUGAAAUAUCAUAUAAACGGAAAACUUUGGCUGAAGAUAUCCUGCUAUAAUAGAUUGUCAAAACAUUUUGUCCAUCAAGUUGUAACAUAAAAUUCUAGUAAGCUUAUAUUGGUAAUCUAAAUUGUAAUCUUGAAGAUUUAGUUUGUCCCAAAUAUAUUGCUGGCAAAUAUCUUCCCAGUCAUCGUUGUCUGUAAUACCUUCAGGUGGAUAACCAAAUAAUAUUCUGAUGUCUCUAAUAAUUUUGUUUUGGUCUUGCAAAUCAUAAUAUUGAAGGUUAAGUCCAUCUCGAAAAUAUUGUUGGUAAUAAAUUUUCCAUUCGUAUUCAGGGUAGUGACAUACGCCUGAAAACCAGAUCUGCAAAUCGCUUUUGUCUUGAAUUCUGUCUAACCAUAACAGUCUAUUUUGUGAAUUUUCGAGCCUUUUGUAAAGACUUUGUCUAUUGUAUUCGUCACAUGCUGCUCGUAAGGCGUCUUCACCUAAAUGCUUAAAUCCAGAAAGGAUAAUGUGGAAAGGAAUAACUGCAAAUGGGUCUUCAAAUAACCUAUGUAUGUCUUGGAUUAUAUCAUCAAGAGGUUCUUCAGAUGAUUUAAGAGAAGCGUGUAAUAUGUCGUCGAUAAAUGGGCAAUAUCGAGGAUCCAUGUCUUUGUUUGAGCCUGAAAUGUCUGGAUCAAUAUACAUUAUGUUAAUAUACAUAUUUACAGUCUAACACAUGUUUACAGUCUAGUAGAGAGAAUUCUUUUAAAUGGAGUAUCAUCUUUCACCUUUUAUAAACAGUUCUGGCUGGGACAAUUACAACCUAAACAUUUAUAGAAUUCGUAUAAAAACAGAAGUCUAGUUAAUGGGUUUCCAGAUCAACUUUUCUGUAACAUCACAGACCAACCUUUUCCCCUAACAACUUUUAUCCUCGCCUUACUUCUGUUAGGAUUUCUAGAAGACAUCAUAUACAAUAUAUUAGAUAUAUUAAUAAUAUAUUGGGAAACUUUUGACCCAUAUCUUAUUACUUGGCCUUUUCGUUAUAUUGGCCCAAAGAAACAUUAAUCAUCAAAUUGUUAUUUCUUACAUUUCAAACUGGAUAAAGACAUACAAAUAUAUCUACUUAUAGACUCUACCUUUAGAUUUCUUUUAGCAAGUUUAUAUUGUAUUGUUGACUCCAUUUUAGACUUUCUCUUUACCCCUUAUUAUAUUAAAACUUUUAUUUUGGUUUCCUUAACCUUAGGAAUACCACUCCAUCUUAUAAUUAACUUUUUACAACUUAUAUAUCAGCUUUGGGAAAUAGACCCUUUUCUUGUAUUUCAUAUUGUUCGGAGAUAAUUAAUACACUGGCUAAUCCAAACGAAGACGAAAUUUUACCUGAUUACGAAGAUUACGAAGCAGAUAACAACGGCGACGAAAAUCUAAGACAGUUCGAAGACAAUAACAAUAGUGACGAAAUUCUAAGAGAUCAAGAACAAGAAGACCUUAGUAGUUCAGACUAUAGUGAAAAUACCACAAGCCCAAGACAAUUCAACUGGCGAUACAAUAUCGUCCAUAUUGGACGAAGAAGAUUUUUGGAAAUAACAGUUGAAGACGCUUUUGACGUAGACGCCUUUAAUUGGGAUCCAAUAAACAAUCCUAUUUACGCUAAUCAUCCUAUUGGAACUUUAGUACAUUUUCGUGUUUUGAAAACAUUCUACAUUGAACCUCAUAGGUAUCUAGAUCUAUUUUUCUGUAUCAUACUUGCCUUAGAUAAAGAACUUAUACACUACCCUCAUCUUUUUGAUAUUCUUUCCAGACGACCUCCUCCUCCUCCAUGAAGAUUUUAAUGCUAGUCCCAUCUUUGUGUCUUUUAAGCAUUCUAAUUGUCCUUUUCAGUAUCCAACAGAUUUUAGUAGUUAUAGAAAAAAAUAGUAAUUCCCACUCAGAACUUCUUAAUAAACUAAUAAGACUCUUAGACUCCUCUCCAAACUCUACUUGUUCUUUAUAAGUUUAUAAACACGGCUAGAAUUAAAAGAAAAUCAAAAAGACAAAGAGCCCUUUUAUUAUUUGCAUUUUUAACAUUAUAUGAUAAGACUUUAUCAAAUCUAAACCUUCCUUAUCCUUUUAUUAUUUACCAUCUCACAGGAAAAUUCCAUACCUUUACAUUUGGUUUUCAUAAAAAUAUUUCAAAAUAGAUCCACUAAGGACUCUUCAACAACUUGUACUUAGACUUGAUCAGACAAUUAGGACACAAACAGAAUUACUUUAGUAGAACAAAGACUUUCCAAUAUCGACUUCAGACUAAAUCAACUAGAGGCAAGACCUCAAAGGAUAGAACAAAAACUACUAAAAAUUGAACAAGAUUUACAUUCAAGUCUUCAAAGGUUAGCUGAAAUUAAACAAAUUUCUCUUGGAUGACUAAUCCCGAGCACCUUGAAGCUGAAAUCUUACAUAAAACUUUAUCAAAAGUACAACCUUAUAGUCCUGACAAAACUUCUAUAGGAUUUUCAUCCCAUCUCCCACAAGCCUUAUCUGAACAAGUUAUAAUUAAACAGAACAAUACUAUUAUACAACUUUUAUUAGGAUUACACAGUAGAAUACAUACAUUAGAAAAUUUGGUGAUACAACAAAAGCAAGCUGAAAGCAUUACUCCUACCAUAGAUACAACCCCUAUUAUACAAGAAGUAACAAAGCAUUUUUCUUCACUCCAAUUUCAAGAGCAUUCAAAAGAUACCCUUCCAAAGAAAGUUAUCCAGCCAUGGAACUUUCAUAGAAAAAUCCCACGCUAUUUAACUUCACCAGAACCUAGAUCUCCUAACACUCCUAGUACAUAAAAAAAUCAGACUUCCAGUUCUACUAAUAAAUCUCUUUGACCUUAAACUUUUCAAAAAUACAAGACCUUAUAAAAAUGGUUUGCAAGACUUAUGAUGACGAACUUCCAGAAUUCGCUGAUCCAGACUUUUACAAUACUAUGGUUGAACAAAAUGAACUAGACAUGUGGUGGUUCAGCGCUAUAGAAGAAAACAGACAAAGAGACGAAGACACAUUGGAAACAGAAGACAAUGACGAAAGAAAUACAACCCAUAAUCAUACCCAAAGAAUGUUUUUUACUUUGGAAACUAUCCUGGAAGAAAGUGAAGAUUUUAGUGAAGAUUUUGGAAUAACAGAACUCAGACAAAUUCUUUGUGAAUUAUGCCUUCAAGAUAAUAUUCUUACAGACAUAUGGAGACUAUUUGAAGAACCCUUAGACAAUAUUAUAUCUGAUAUUUGGAGAUUAUCCAUUUAAAAGAAUUCUCUCUACUAGACUGUAAAUAUGUAUAUUAACAUAAUGUAUAUUGAUCCAGACAUUUCAGGCUCAAACAAAGACAUGGAUCCUCGAUAUUGCCCAAUUAUCGACGACAUAUUACCCGCUUCUCUUAAAUCAUCUGAAGAACCUCUUGAUGAUAUAAUCCAAGACAUACAUAGGUUUUUUGAAGACCCAUUUGCAGUUAUUCCUUUCCACAUUAUCCUUUCUGGAUUUANAUUUUUUAUUUUAGAAAAAAAAAUAGAUUUUUUAAGAAAAUAAUAUCUUUUACUAUAUAGAAAAUCUCCGUGUCAAACUCAAAUAUAGAUUUUCUACUUUAGGAAAAAUAAAAUUAGAUUUUUUAAGGAAAUAAUACUUUAGGGAAAAUAAAAUUAGAUUUUUUAAGAAAAACCCUUUAUGAACUUUAUGUCAGAAGCUGAUACGUGGCUUUCUAUAUGCUUGCUACAUGUCAUCGUAUCUAUUCUAUUUACUAUAAUGAUAGGUGGAUUAAUGAGAUAUUUGAGAAAUUCACGGAUAUUACGUUGUGAAAGAAUUGACUGGUGCGGAUAUUACGCGUGAGAAGGAAAAUAUUUGAGAAACGCGUAGAUAGAAAAUAGGAUAUAAAUGCGAGGGUAAUAUUGUCAUAAAAAGUAACAGAUAAUUUUAUUUUCAAUCAUUAAAUAAGAUCUAAUGGCAAAAAAUUAAUAUCUUUUAUAAUGCUAUUAAAAAUCAC
RNAcentral lists this long non-coding RNA (7181 nucleotides) under Ananas comosus (pineapple). Its description in RNAcentral is "long non-coding RNA (ACOM_LNC009958)". Lineage: Eukaryota; Viridiplantae; Streptophyta; Magnoliopsida; Poales; Bromeliaceae. The record is from RNAcentral.